RNAcentral lists this ribosomal RNA (443 nucleotides) under uncultured bacterium. RNAcentral's name for it is "partial 16S ribosomal RNA". It matches the Rfam family "Bacterial small subunit ribosomal RNA", at positions 338 to 795 of the family's 1533-position model. The record is from RNAcentral.
ACUACGGGUGGCAGCAGUGGGGAAUAUUGGGCAAUGGGCGCAAGCCUGACCCAGCAACGCCGCGUGAAGGAAGAAGGCUUUCGGGUUGUAAACUUCUUUUCUCAGGGACGAAGAAAGUGACGGUACCUGAGGAAUAAGCCACGGCUAACUGCGGGCCAGCAGCCGCGGUAAUACGUAGGUGGCAAGCGUUAUCCGGAUUUAUUGGGUGGAAAGGGCGUGUAGGCGGGAGCGCAAGUCAGAUGUGAAAACUCAGGGCUCAACCCUGAGCCUGCAUUUGAAGAUGUGUUUCUUGAGUGCUGGAGAGGCAAUCGGAAUUCCGUGUGUAGCGGUGAAAUGCGUAGAUAUACGGAGGAACACCAGUGGCGAAGGCGGAUUGCUGGACAGUAACUGACGCUGAGGCGCGAAAGCGUGGGGAGCAAACAGGAUUAGAUACCCCAGUAGUC